AGUGCCGGUAUGAUCGUUCGAAAGGCCGGGGCGAGCUCUUGUGGGCAUCGCAUGGAUGGUACGACUUCUCGAGGGAGAAGUUCUUGUUGUUUUUUGUUACAGCUGGACCCGUAAAGGCUGCCUACGUACCCCCUUUGUGGGGAAUCAAGCCGUUCGUAGUUCUUUGAUUUUCGAGUAAAAGUGGCUGUGAAAGCGCAUUUACUCGGUUUUUUUUU
RNAcentral lists this long non-coding RNA (215 nucleotides) under Brassica napus (rape). RNAcentral's name for it is "long non-coding RNA (BNAP_LNC026255)". Lineage: Eukaryota; Viridiplantae; Streptophyta; Magnoliopsida; Brassicales; Brassicaceae. The record is from RNAcentral.